Polypterus senegalus (gray bichir) is the source of this 295-nucleotide long non-coding RNA. RefSeq lists it as uncharacterized. The transcript is spliced from 3 exons. NCBI's taxonomy places the organism in Eukaryota, Metazoa, Chordata, Cladistia, Polypteriformes, Polypteridae. The record is from RefSeq and is a predicted model, not a curated record.
CUGGCAAUCAGAAGUUUGCCGGUUCAAGUCCCAAAAAUGGCAGAAGUGACCCACCUCUGUUGGGCCCUGGAGCAAGGCCCUUAACCCGCAACUGCUUCAUCCUGGGUUGUGGAACCAGAGCACCCAGAGGAAACACAUGCCUACAUGGAGAACAUGCAAUUUCCACACAAGAAGUAACUGGAAGCUAAACCCUUAGUGUGAGGCAGCAGCACUAACCAGUGCACCACCUGGCAAGGGUUUACCACCAUUGCUUGCAGAGAUCUUAUCACCAUCAAAAUCGACUUCCACUUCCACC